UGGGGCCACCUCUACCACUGGCAGAGCCCCGACAUCAACCAGGUCUGGAUUCCCUGGUCCGACUCCUUUGACCUCCCAAGUCUCAACAGAAACAUCCCUGACAUUGAGUACGAGCAGUUCAUUGCAGGCCUCUGAAUACUCAGUCCAGGAAAGCUAAACCAUUCUAGCCUUCAUCGGUUCUGGGAAAGCAAUCUUCAGAGUGGGAAAAAACAUUGAAAAAUAAUAUUCUGUGAGUUGCUUUCUACCCUUGCCCAGAGAUGAGAAACAUCUGAAGGUGGAGG
Molecule: non-coding RNA, 281 nt
Organism: Vicugna pacos (alpaca)
Lineage: Eukaryota; Metazoa; Chordata; Mammalia; Artiodactyla; Camelidae
Source: RefSeq, a predicted model, not a curated record